Molecule: non-coding RNA, 167 nt
Organism: Phascolarctos cinereus (koala)
Lineage: Eukaryota; Metazoa; Chordata; Mammalia; Diprotodontia; Phascolarctidae
Source: RefSeq, a predicted model, not a curated record
AGCCAUUCCAUUAACUCUAUAUGUAGGCAUGCCUUUGACAUAUGUGAAUACAUUAUUCCAAUUUUUUCUGAGAUGGACAAGCAUUUGGGUUUAUUCCCACCAGGAGCAAGACGUCCACUGCCAGCUGUUUUCUGAACCCCAGAGCCUUACUGGAGAUAUCUCAGAAC